CACAAUUGAUGCUGUUGUUUGCUAUUGGAUUUUUGAAGGAGGGGUGGAAUAGGCACCGAAGUGCUAGUUUACCUUAAAACGGUACCUCCAUGGCUAUGCGAGAAUAAAACUGUUAUGGGCCAUUUUCUUCUUCUGGUGGCUUUCAUCGAUACUCCUGUGAGUUUGUGAAUUCCAUCUUUAGUGUUUUUGGAAGCGCUGUUUGAGAAAUUGGUUAUGUAUGCUUGAUUGUUGCUGCUUGGACUUCUCCUUUGUUUCAGGCAUGCUUUGUCGGUGCUGGAGGCGAUAGUGAAUCUGUGUUUAUCUUCUGAAAUCUUCUUAGGUGGGCUAGGCUCCUGUUCUUGAUUGAGCUUUAUACUUUGACUUUGGGCUGAGGUAGGCUUUCUUUUAUAAUCUACCCAAUUGAGCUUUAAAUGCAUGGUAAAAAAGAUUAUAUUGGCUAAUAUAUAUGAUACCAAUCUUGAUAAAUUUACAAGUCAAUUAUUUUGUUUAAAAAAAUACAAUGAAAUUACUUUGUUUACAAAUAACAAUUUAAAAGCAAGUGCAAAGCACAUUAUCUUUUCUGAAUAAACUAAAAAAGUGAAAAAAAAAAAGAAGAGAUUAUUUCACAUUUCACAAGUCACAACCUCUUCAAUUCUUCGUUCAAUACGACAAAGCUUAUUCAAGAAAUUAGCAUAUAUACUGCUGCUUAAAAAGUAAGUUUCUUGCAGAAUUAAUAAAUUUGCGUGCUAUAGGUGACUUCGACUAAAUCUGAUAAAGAUUCUAUUUGACCAAGAAAAAUUGCUUCUACAGAAUGGGAGACAAAAUAGAAAAUUGUGCGCCACUAAAAUUGACAUUUCUUGCAUAGGGAGGUACAGAAUGUAAAAUAAUAAGACAACUCCCAGUUGCUUCCCGUCAAACAAAAGGGAAGCAUACCCAACAUUCAAUCAAAAUAAAGGGCAAGUGCCCUACUGUUCUUUGAAUAUCUCACAAUGGCCAAUGUCACUUCCUUGGGAUUACAGUGCAGAACUCAGAAUAAAGUGCCUCAGCUUGAAAUGAAAUGGAUUUCCAGAGCUAAGAUAAUCUAACCAGACUAGUUGCCAGGUCUGUCAAAAACCUGUGCAUACAAUACACAUUCAUCACAUGAUUUUACAAUCAGGGCUAUGCAUGUAAUUUACAAUAUGAUUUUACAAAAUUGCAUUGUGCUACCGAUGUUUAUGUACUCAUCGUGAGUUUUCUUGCUGACUUUUCUAGUGCCAAUCAUAUUGCUGGUUUUCAGUUAACAUGCUCGCAACUGCUACCAAAGAAGCCACUUGCGCCGUGGGAGUGGCUGACUAGAAGUACUGGUGGAGUUUGGAGUUACAGUGAUUCUUUCUGCAUUUGCGGCAACCCAUUGGCUGAAAUCAGGAGAGGCAACAAGUUCUUUG
This 1403-nucleotide long non-coding RNA is filed under the name Manihot esculenta (cassava). RNAcentral's name for it is "long non-coding RNA (MESC_LNC007482)". The record is from RNAcentral. Lineage: Eukaryota; Viridiplantae; Streptophyta; Magnoliopsida; Malpighiales; Euphorbiaceae.